RNAcentral lists this ribosomal RNA (253 nucleotides) under uncultured bacterium. RNAcentral describes it as "partial 16S ribosomal RNA". It matches the Rfam family "Bacterial small subunit ribosomal RNA", at positions 524 to 776 of the family's 1533-position model. The record is from RNAcentral.
GACGGAGGGUGCAAGCGUUGCUCGGAAUCACUGGGCGUAAAGGGUGCGUAGGCGGGCAGGUAAGUCCGUGGUGAAAUCUCUGAGCUUAACUCAGAAACUGCCAUGGAUACUAUUUGUCUUGAAUAUUGUGGAGGUGAGCGGAAUAUGUCAUGUAGCGGUGAAAUGCUUAGAUAUGACAUAGAACACCAAUUGCGAAGGCAGCUCACUACACAGUCAUUGACGCUGAGGCACGAAAGCGUGGGGAUCAAACAGG